UGGGGAAUAUUGGACAAUGGGCGGAAGCCUGAUCCAGCAACGCCGCGUGAGGGAUGACGGCCUUCGGGUUGUAAACCUCUUUCACCUAUGACGAAGCGCAAGUGACGGUAGUAGGAGAAGAAGCACCGGCCAACUACGUGCCAGCAGCCGCGGUAAUACGUAGGGUGCGAGCGUUGUCCGGAAUUAUUGGGCGUAAAGGGCUCGUAGGCGGUUUGUCGCGUCGGGAGUGAAAACCCAGGGCUUAACUCUGGAACUGCCUUUGAUACUGGAUGUCUUGAGUGUGAGAGAGGUAUGUGGAACUCCGAGUGUAGAGGUGAAAUUCGUAGAUAUUCGGAAGAACACCAGUGGCGAAGGCGACAUACUGGCUCAUUACUGACGCUGAGGCUCGAAAGCGUGGGGAGCAAACAGGAUUAGAUACCCUGGUAGUCCACGCCGUAAACGAUGAUUGCUAGUUGUCGGGAUGCAUGCAUUUCGGUGACGCAGCUAACGCAUUAAGCAAUCCGCCUGGGGAGUACGGUCGCAAGAUUAA
Molecule: ribosomal RNA, 529 nt
Filed under: uncultured bacterium
Lineage: Bacteria
Description: bacterial SSU rRNA
Rfam family: Bacterial small subunit ribosomal RNA
Source: RNAcentral